Molecule: long non-coding RNA, 3310 nt
Organism: Marmota monax (woodchuck)
Lineage: Eukaryota; Metazoa; Chordata; Mammalia; Rodentia; Sciuridae
Exons: 2
Source: RefSeq, a predicted model, not a curated record
ACUCAGGGGCAGUCGUGGGGAGCCGGAGACCUGGACCAGGAGCUCGGUUUGCCAGAGCCCAUUGUACUCACGCUGGGGGUCUGAAGACCUUCUUUUACUGGUUCUGUUUAUCAGCCACACUUUAGUUGACCUUUGGACUUGUUAAACAAGUGGCCUGCAACCUAGGCGCGGGGGCUUUUCCACUGGCGCCAGGCUCUGCUUCAGCCCAGAAAGAAGAAACUGAGCUUCGGGGGUUUCAGGACAACCUCGGUGCCCGGGGCCAGAGACGCUCUCUGCAAAUGCAAGGUCAUUGUGGCAGCAUGCCAAGUAGAGAAGGCACCCACAAGCCACUGAAAGAAGUUUUUUUCCACCCAGGCCUGGCCAGGAAGGAAGCCAACGGCCUUUCAUUAUUACAGGAGUUUCUGCCACAUCUCCCUGAAAGGCUGAGGGGGAAAAGAGGGCCAAAGUAAAGGCUCCCAAAUCUACAGGCUUGGACCUGACUUGCAGAAGAACAGGGGAGGGGCUUCUUAUAAUCCCACCUACCCUGGGAGCUUCAGUUUCCUGUCUGUGAAAAGGGAUACCUAUUGGUAUCCUGCUAAGGUGCAGGGCAACUGUGCCAUUGAAUGAGACCACCUGUGUAAACCCUUGGUCUAACAAUGGUGCUCACACUUUCCUGACUGGGAAGGCAGGAGGCCUGUUCCCAGUAGUAAAAUCUAGCCCUUCUGGAAGCUUAGAGUUCUCAGAAUCAGGGACUUGCAGUGCUGGGUUUGGAGCAGCAAGGACAUUAGGGACAAAAAUUCAGAAUCAGCAGGAAAUUUGCAAAGAAACUUCUAAAUACAGUCUCCUACCUCUCCCUCCUUUGAGACAAGUAGGAGGAAAUUAGGCUUGGGCUAGGGAUAGAGAAGAAUUUCAGGAUGAGGGGAAGGGUCUACCCGCUUUCAUCUGCUAGGUACAGGCUCAGAUCUGGGAAGGCUGGUGAUGUGAGUGACCAAGGACAAGCUAUUAGGGAGCUAGGAUGCCACUUUCGAAUACAGGCUGGGCUACGGGUGCUUGGGUUUCUGUACUGGGAGUCAGAAAGAAGAGAAAAGCUUGUAUACAUGGAACCCCGAAGAAGGUUUAUCCCUAUCUCUGACCUUUCUCUGAGAAAAGGGGUAAGAAAUUUAUAGACAUCAGGGCCUUUCAUGUCAUCUCCUUGUCUUCUAGUUUGUUGUGACAUAUGGCAUAUUCUUGAAAUUCUUUCCACCCAGUAAAACUUUCUCUGCCUCCCCAACUCCCUUUAAGCGGGAUAAUGAAGUGGUCAAAGUCAAUGUCCCUGGAGAGCAAUCGUUUUUUUCUGUUUGUUACAAUCAUGACAGAAUCAUCAAGUUUUUGUGUUAACCUGGGAAACCCCAUUGAAAAGCCAGUCAUCACUUCCCUCUGACAGCACAGCUUUGUAUUUCCAACUGCUGUGUGCGCCAUCAGACUGCCAGCCAGGCCUCCUUCUCUCUCAAAAUUCAGGUGCCUGCAAACCCGAACCCCAGUCACCUUAGCUGGAUGCACAGGAAGUUGCACACAGAGUACAGGGAGAACUUCCUCUGAGUGUCCAGGUCUGUCUUCCAGGUAAUCUGGCUACUCAUAUCUAGCAACUUCCCGCAGUCCUCUUGCCCACACCCACCUUGUAUAUGCCCCUUGGUGCAGUGUAGGUGCUCACCAAGGCAUCACGUCUAGAGAUCUGUAAAGAUUCAAUACCUAUUCCUUCCUAUGGAGAUUUAAAAAGAAAAGUAUAAAUAGGACAGCAAAUAGUUCUUCAGGAUUCAGGUUGUAGAUGCUAAUUAAAUGAGCUAUCUCCUGAAAUCCUUCAGUGAAACUUCCCUCCUAUAGAGGAAGACACAGUAUGAUUUGAAUAAUCUCUGCUUAUGUUUCACAUGGUAUAAUGUAGUGAUAGACUCAGAUAGUGACUCCAAAAUAAGACAUGGGAGAGUCUAAGGAGGUUGCUUGUAGCCACUGGAGUAAGUUAGUGGAAGGGCUGGGACUGGGGCUCAGGACUUCAGUGCAGGACUUUAGGGUGAAAGAGGAGGGUCUAUGGCUUUCACUGUUUUGGGAGAAGGAAAGUUGAAAGGGAGAUUCUAUGGGAGUGAGGUGGAGGAUACACAGAAAGAACUUUGGAGUCAAAGAUACCUACACAUGCAAAAGGAUAAUGAUUCUGUAAUAAGUUUUUCAAUAUGCCUUUAUUUUAUUUAUUUAUUUAUAUGUGGUGCUGAGGAUUGAACCCAGCACCUCGCACUGCUGAGCCACAACCCCAGCCCUGUGUUGUGUUUUUUUAAAGAUGAAAUGAAUUAACAACUGCAUGCUCCUGGAUUAUGGCAGGCUUUCACAUAUUCAGAAAAAAGAGAUAUACCAUGAAAAUAUGCUUAAGUGAGGCAACUGACCUCUUUGGUUCCAGAUUUCUUUCUUUUUUUCUUUUUGUUUGUUUUUUGGUACCAGGGAUUGAACCCAGAGAUGAUUAACUUCUGAGCCACAUCCCCAUCCCUUUUUAAUUUUUAUUUUGAGACAGGGUCUUGCUUGCUUGCUUGCUUAGGGCUUUGCUAAGUUUCUGAGGCUGGCCUUGAACUUGCAAUCAUCCUGUCUCAGCCUUCCAAGUUUCUGGGAUUUCAGCACGGUGUGCCACUGUGCCAGGCCUCCCAGAUUGUUUUCUUAAGAGUUACCAAAUUUAGAGGAACCAUAUUAGGUUCUUUUACCAAAUAAUAAAUUUGUAGUUCAAAUCCCAAGGUUUUCUAUGGGAGAUGGAAUUCCUAGAGUAAAAUCAUUUAAAAUCUAGUUAGUGGGUUAUUCUGUGAAAUUUUUGACUAAAUGAACAGAUGAUUGUCUCUGAAUGAUCCUGCUAAGGAUGACUUUUGUUCCUUAUUUAUUCAGAUUUUCCCAACUGUCAGCAAGGAAACUAUAGUCUAAAAAUAACUUUCCCAGACACAAAAGUGUCUAUGCUACGUGAUUCCAUUUAUAUGAAUUUAAAAAGUAGGAACAUUAACCCAUAGAGGUAGAAGUUUCUGGGGUGGUAAAAGAUUCUGUGUGUGUGUGUGUGUUAAUAUUUAUUUUUUAGUUUUUUUGGGUGGACACAACAUCUCUAUUUGUAUGUGGUGCUGAGGAUGGAAUCCAGUGCCUCACGUGUGCUAGGCGAGUGCUCUACCACUUGAGCCACAACCCCAGCCCAAGAUUCUGUGUUUUGAUCAGGAUAGUGGAUACAUCAUCAGGUUACACCUGCAGGAUUUGUGCAUAUUGCCAUUAUGUAUGUUUGCAAUAUGUAAAUUAUAAUUCAGUAAAAAAAUAAAGCCAAUUUCAAAGUAUAAAAUGUAAA